UUUUUUCCUUUUCCCAGGUCUGGAUUUUUCCUGUUCUGUGCAGAAGAAAGGCCCAGCAUAAAGGCUCAGAACCCCGGUCUGGGCAUUGGAGAUAUAGCCAAGAAGCUGGGAGAGAUGUGGAACAAUCUGUCUGAUUCUGAGAAGCAGCCCUUCCUGUCCAAGGCCAACAAACUGAAGGACAAGUAUCAGAAGGACAUGGCUGACUACAGAGGAAAGGGGAAAGGAAGCGGAGGGGCAUCAUCUGCCAAAUCCAAACCCAAGGAUGACGAUGAUGAUGAUGACGACGAUGAGGAGGAGGAUGAAGAAGAGGAAGAUGAGGAUGACUAAAGAACUCGUUUGUCCUAAUUGGGCAGCAAGUUAUUUGUUCGCUGCCAAUUAGUAUCAGUUAAGUCUGGGUCUAAGAGGUCUUGAUGUCAAGGCUGCUAUAAACUGAUCACCAGUAGAGAUGCCCAAUGCAUGCAAGCUCUGACUUUAGACAACCAAACUUUCUCAGUGCUGGGUUUGCUGGUGGUCCAGUUACAGCUUGCUAUUAAACUGCAUUGGCAAAAACAAAAUAUUUCCACACCGUUCAACAAUAAACAAAGUGGUAGCAGUACAUACUCUUUUAAAACUAUUUAAGGUGGUGUGUUUCUGUGUGGCUGUUGACGUAGUUAUUUUUUAUUUUUUUUUUCUACUCUUCCCAGCUUUCAAAAUGCACAAUUUGUUGCUAUAUUUAAAGUUCAGUUUCGUUCGGCCCCAUAAGCUUCCUGCAUUGUUGAAAGGAUGUUUGUGAAUUGUGGUUAUAUUAUUAUUUGUGUAAUUUUGACUGAUUACAUUGAUAAUUUUAUGUGUGGAGAGUCUAGGGACAUUUUCAGCUUUAACCAGAGGCAAGUGAUGAAAUGUUAAGCUGGGGAAAGCUCUUAUUUGCACCUUCAGUUUUUUUUUUUUUUUUUAUGUCUAGGUGACACUGUGAUUUGAAAUAAACAUGGCAUUUUUAGAUCUCAAA
Long non-coding RNA from Sinocyclocheilus rhinocerous, 985 nucleotides. RefSeq lists it as uncharacterized. NCBI's taxonomy places the organism in Eukaryota, Metazoa, Chordata, Actinopteri, Cypriniformes, Cyprinidae. The transcript is spliced from 2 exons. The record is from RefSeq and is a predicted model, not a curated record.